UACUGGAAGUAAGGAGAGUGUACAUGUGAUAGUUAGUGCAUAAGUUCAUAUAUAUCAUUCGUUGUUUUACCUAAGAACUUAAGUUUUUCCUUUCCGUUGCUUGCUGUCGUGGCGGUAGCCGCUCUCUUUCUCCCCUCAUAGGUAAGUAGGUAAGUGUGGUAUUUCUACUCUUUCGCUGCGCUAGGAAGAAGAAGGGGUCGUUCUUUCUUUUCGGGGUGAAAUCUUCGGCCGGUAGAGGGCUCCUGGGUAGGCGCUUUGGCGCGGUUUGGGUUAGGGUCGGCAGGUGGACGGUUGGGGCGCGUCUAGGCUGCCGGGCCCGCCUGCCUCAGGGUCGCCGGCCCUCCCCGUUUGGCCAUGAAGGGGUGGCCACCGAGGCGGGUGGGGGGAAAUAGAGGGGGAGGGGGUGGAGGGCCAGGAGCAGGGACCACUGCGGGGGUUAGCUCGGCUCGAGGAGCGCUAAGGGUUAGGGGCGUGCGGAGGAGCGGGAGGAGGAGGCCGGGGCGGCGGCGGCGGCGGAGCGGUGUCCGAGUGCCAAUAAGUUCUACCUUGUGUUCCUCCGCCCAACGGUCGUCGGCCUCCCGGGUUAGGAUACGCAAUUAUUGACACCGAAGAAACCGUCACGCCGCUGGUACUUGUACACGAGGUUCACGGUGUUCCUCUACCAGUACUUCGUCCUUGUCCGGUUCGACCGACGGAGGAGGAAGCUAUCGUAGCAGUUGCCACCGCUGCCACCCUUUCGUGGACAACAACGCCGACAUCGGCGCUCGCGUCUCCACCACCAACGAGUUCAACUGCACUUCCGCGAGCAACACGUCGGACGACGACUACAACGUCCGUGGUCGCUUCGACAACGGCACUCGGGGUUCUCCUUCCUCCCCGGCUUAGCCACGAGUUGAACGUCCUUCUCCCAACCCGACUGCCCUAAGUUGACGGCGACGCCAUUGUACAUGACAAGCGACGUAGCGAUAAGGCUGUUCGUACUGACGGUCAAGCUGAUGGCCUGACGUCGAUCCCUACGGUAGCGGUUCCGGUUGGGUCACCACUUCCGUCUCUUCGAGCUGUUCUAAAUCCACAGGGUGUCCCUUCUUUACCAACGUUAGACGGUUCCAAGUAGUAGGCAGAAACGACACGGUAGGAACGUGGAGGGAAAGAACAACCGACGGCGUAAAGGAUUUAACAUGCCGCAGCACUACGUGUGACGCAGCACCGUCGACGUUCUUGAGUUAGGAGUCAGUAAGGCUUACCAAACGCACAACACAUUGAAAUAAGUACCACCAAAAAAGCCAGUCAUAACACCGAAGAGUAAAAUCGAUCGAGACAAUACAUGAUAACAGGGUACACACAAUUUAAGACUAGUCAUUAUCAUCGGUCGUUACCAAGUAGUAUAACGCACACCGAAGUAAAAGGUACAAACUCAUACAAGUUAAGUUAAUACAAAUACCAACAUAUCAACCACAAGAGUAACAACAAUCAAACCUUUUAACAUGAACCGAUCAAGAGGUGAGAGUUUAUAUGUAGGUUUAGCUUCUCGUUACUCUUUGUACCAAGACCAAGAGUUCAAAAUCAAGAUCUUGUACGCUCUCGUUACCGUUUGUACCAAUGUCAAGAAGAAUAUACAGUAACGAGAUUAGACUACUAUACACCUAAUACUACUUCGUUAGGUCCUACUUUUCUUACCUCCGGAACACCAAAUAGUGGUCAAUUUUUGAUACGGAAUCUUUUCGACUUCAAAUUUAGUCCUAAGUCGCAUACUAACCCUUACGCCUGACCGAGACGGAACAACGACAUAAGUAAAUCGAACGCGUAAGACUAGGUUCCCCUUGUUAAUGUUGUGUACCCAACUUUAGACAUACUCGACAAAACCGUACUAACAGAGAACCUUUCUUCGGUUAACCAACACGGUUUGAUAGGAAAGGUCCUCUAUCCUAAAAGAAAACGAAUUAAACACCAGUCCGGGG
RNAcentral lists this ribosomal RNA (1958 nucleotides) under Triticum aestivum (bread wheat). RNAcentral's name for it is "partial small subunit ribosomal RNA". The record is from RNAcentral. Lineage: Eukaryota; Viridiplantae; Streptophyta; Magnoliopsida; Poales; Poaceae.